AGCACAUGACGUAGCAAUACAGAUGGUGGCGACCGGCGCACGGGUGAGUAACACGUAUGCAACCUACCUUCCACAGGAGGAUAACCCGUUGAAAGACGGGCUAAUACUCCAUAACACAGGGGUCCCGCAUGGGAAUAUUUGUUAAAGAUUUUUUCGGUAGAAGAUGGGCAUGCGUUCCAUUAGCUAGUUGGUUGAGGUAACGGCUCACCAAGGCAACGAUGGAUAGGGGAACUGAGAGGUUUAUCCCCACACUGGUACUGAGACACGGACCAGACUCC
RNAcentral lists this ribosomal RNA (278 nucleotides) under uncultured Porphyromonadaceae bacterium. Its description in RNAcentral is "partial 16S ribosomal RNA". The stretch from base 38 to 278 matches the Rfam family "Bacterial small subunit ribosomal RNA", at positions 100 to 339 of the family's 1533-position model. Lineage: Bacteria; Pseudomonadati; Bacteroidota; Bacteroidia; Bacteroidales; Porphyromonadaceae. The record is from RNAcentral.